RNAcentral lists this transfer RNA (73 nucleotides) under Lytechinus pictus (painted urchin). Its description in RNAcentral is "transfer RNA isoleucine (anticodon AAU)". It matches the Rfam family "tRNA". From Rfam's summary of the family: Transfer RNA (tRNA) molecules are approximately 80 nucleotides in length. RNAcentral also lists the same sequence under 1 other name. Lineage: Eukaryota; Metazoa; Echinodermata; Echinoidea; Temnopleuroida; Toxopneustidae. The record is from RNAcentral.
GGUCUGUUAGCUCAGUCGGCAGAGCAUCGUGCUAAUAACGCGAGGGUCAUGAGUUCGAGCCUCAUAUAGACCA